RNAcentral lists this ribosomal RNA (993 nucleotides) under Bacteroides uniformis. RNAcentral describes it as "partial 23S ribosomal RNA". It matches the Rfam family "Bacterial large subunit ribosomal RNA", at positions 1 to 1005 of the family's 2925-position model. The record is from RNAcentral. Lineage: Bacteria; Pseudomonadati; Bacteroidota; Bacteroidia; Bacteroidales; Bacteroidaceae.
GAGAAAGUAAGCAAGGGCAGACGGUGGAUGCCUUGGCUCUCGGAGGCGACGAAGGACGUGAUAAGCUGCGAAAAGCUCGGGGGAGGCGCAAAUAGCCCUUGAUCCCGGGAUAUCCGAAUGGGGCAACCCGGCAGGCUGAAGGCCUGCCAUCCCGUAAGGGAGGCGAACGUGGGGAACUGAAACAUCUAAGUACCCAUAGGAGGAGAAAAUAAACAAUGAUUCCGUAAGUAGUGGCGAGCGAACACGGAAGAGCCCAAACCCGUGGCGUCUAGGCGACACGGGGGUUGUAGGACCACGACGUGGCAAGAUAGAGUCAAGUGGAACGCCUUGGAAAGGGCGACCGUAGAGGGUGAUAGUCCCGUACACGACUGACGAUUGAAGCCUAGUGGUAUCCUGAGUAGCGCGGGGCACGAGAAAUCUUGCGUGAAACUGCGGGGCCCAUCCCGUAAGGCUAAAUACUCCCGAGAGACCGAUAGCGAACCAGUACCGUGAGGGAAAGGUGAAAAGAACCCCGAGCAGGGGAGUGAAAUAGACCCUGAACCCGUCUGCCUACAAGCGGUCGGAGCAUCGUCAAGAUGUGACGGCGUGCCUUUUGCAUAAUGAACCUACGAGUUACCUUCCCCGGCAAGGUUAAGUACCUAAGGUACGGAGCCGAAGCGAAAGCGAGUCUGAAUAGGGCGGCCAGUCGGGGGGGGUAGACGCGAAACCGAGUGAUCUACCCUUGGCCAGGUUGAAGGUUGGGUAACACCAACUGGAGGACCGGAUGGGUAAGCGUUGAAAAGCUUUCCAAUGAGCUGAGGGUAGGGGUGAAAGGCUAAUCAAACUCGGAGAUAGCUCGUACUCCCCGAAAUGCAUUUAGGUGCAGCCUCUUUAUAGUAUAUCGUGAGGUAGAGCGACUGAUUGGAUGCGAGGGCUUCACCGCCUAUCAAGUCCAGAUAAACUCCGAAUGCGCGAUAUAUAUUUACAGGGAGUGAGGGCGCGGGUGCUAAGGUC